Molecule: small nuclear RNA, 107 nt
Organism: Bos indicus x Bos taurus (hybrid cattle)
Lineage: Eukaryota; Metazoa; Chordata; Mammalia; Artiodactyla; Bovidae
Source: Ensembl
GUGCUUGCUUCGGCAGCACAUAUACUAAAAUUGGAACGAUACAGAGAAGAUUAGCAUGGCCCCUGUGCAAGGAUGACACAGAAAUUCGUGAAGUGUUCCAUAUUUUU